CAGCGUCAUAGGUUAACUCCUUUCGCCAACGAGGGAUUGACGGGAUCCGACCGGGAGAAAAGCACACCACAGCAAGAUCCACAAGCAGUGAGACCAGGAGACUGGGUGUUAACUGGGCGAACCAAAGGUGGGAAGGACCAUUCCAAGUACUCCUGACCACGCCAACAGCUGUGAAGAUCGCUGAAAGACCUUUCUGGAUUCACCUCAGCCACUGACCACUCGUCUCAGCGUCGGUGAAGAAAUCAACUGAUCCCUGUUCUUUAGAGUCCUGGGUAAAAUUAACAUCUCUGCUAACCUAGCAAAAUUGGGGUUCCCAUGCAGAUGGGACUUCUUUUGCGUUGUGGCUGUUGCGUGCAUUAUCUGGUUGAGUCCAGGUCCGGUAAAUGAGAGAGGAAAGAGGUUCAUCCACUCCGCUGCCAUGAAGAUUUGGCUGGGUAAUAUCCCAAACCACCAUGUUGACAACCUAUGGGAAACGUAUGCAAGAACUGUAGUCCAACAGCAUAACAAGACUGAUUGCUACGUGUGUUCUGUCAUGCCUAAAUUUACCAAGCAGCCUACCUUGUACAUAACUCCCAUGAACACCUCACAGGCUAUUUGUUUUGCAUCAUAUGCAUUCCAGUUUAUGCCUGCUCAAUUGAUGAAUGCCACGACUGGGGAGAUUAUGAUGGAACAAGUGUGCAAAGGAGUAAAGUCGUCACUGUUCUCUUACAGCAAAGUUACAGGCUAUCCCACCAAGAUGAAGGCUGUCAUGUCUAAAGGAAUGAAACAUCCAGUGUGUAUUCACUCACCUAGAGGGAAUGAUACGGUGAAGGUAGGACAUGCAGCAGGAUGCCAGAAUACCAUCACUGACCUUUACUCUGACUUUGUCUGCGGCAUCGUCCCUAAUGGAACGUACACGAGCUGUUCUACUUGGAAACCACAAGUUAACUUUCCUACAAAGGGUGGCUGGUUCCUGCGUGGAGGAGACAACAUUUACCCAUCACUGCCCCUCAGCUGGUCAGGUACAUGUGCACCUGUGUUUGUUUCUGACCACACCGUCAUCAUCUCAGCUCAAGCUGUGAAGGAAAAUCAUCCUUCUAAUAGGAGGAGAAGAGAACUCAGCUCCAGCUCAGUUUUCCAGCCCCAUGAUCCCAUGUGGGGUUCCAACGUUCCCUCUGAACAUAAACACUGGAGUACAGCGAAUAAAAUAGGACUUUCACUUUUCCGUGGUUUGGAGUUGGUAAAUCUAUGCUGAUGAUUGAAACACUGGACUACAGAACGAAGAUCCUAGUGAACAUGACGAUGGACAUUAAUAAAGGACAAAACAAACAGAUCAUGGUGGCACCUUUUACUGAAAAUAAUGACACCCAUUAUUAUUGUUCUUAUUAUUUUUUGUGUUUUUACUGCUUGUGUAUACCCCUUCCCUUUAGUCUAUGAUUGCUAAAACUAUGGGAAAUGUAGUAUUUCAAUAUCAAAUGCUUUCACAAAUCCCUCUUGAAGAAAUACAACCUAUAGUUUAACUUUUUCCUUGUUAAA
Molecule: long non-coding RNA, 1515 nt
Organism: Fundulus heteroclitus (mummichog)
Lineage: Eukaryota; Metazoa; Chordata; Actinopteri; Cyprinodontiformes; Fundulidae
Exons: 3
Source: RefSeq, a predicted model, not a curated record